CACGAAGUGAGUGGCGGACGGGUGAGUAACACGUGGGUAACCUGCCCAGAAGCAGGGGAUAACACCUGGAAACAGAUGCUAAUACCGUAUAACAGAGAAAACCGCCUGGUUUUCUUUUAAAAGAUGGCUCUGCUAUCACUUCUGGAUGGACCCGCGGCGCAUUAGCUAGUUGGUGAGGUAACGGCUCACCAAGGCGAUGAUGCGUAGCCGACCUGAGAGGGUAAUCGGNCACAUUGGGACUGAGACACGGCCCAGACUCCUACGGGAGGCAGCAGUAGGGAAUCUUCCACAAUGGACGCAAGUCUGAUGGAGCAACGCCGCGUGAGUGAAGAAGGGUUUCGGCUCGUAAAGCUCUGUUGUUAAAGAAGAACGUGGGUGAGAGUAACUGUUCACCCAGUGACGGUAUUUAACCANAAAGCCACGGCUAACUACGUGCCAGCAGCCGCGGUAAUACGUAGGUGGCAAGCGUUAUCCGGAUUUAUUGGGCGUAAAGCGAGCGCAGGCGGUCUUUUAAGUCUAAUGUGAAAGCCUUCGGCUCAACCGAAGAAGUGCAUUGGAAACUGGGAGACUUGAGUGCAGAAGAGGACAGUGGAACUCCAUGUGUAGCGGUGAAAUGCGUAGAUAUAUGGAAGAACACCAGUGGCGAAGGCGGCUGUCUGGUCUGUAACUGACGCUGAGGCUCGAAAGCAUGGGUAGCGAACAGGAUUAGAUACCCUGGUAGUCCAUGCCGUAAACGAUGAUUACUAAGUGUUGGAGGGUUUCCGCCCUUCAGUGCUGCAGCUAACGCAUUAAGUAAUCCGCCUGGGGAGUACGACCGCAAGGUUGAAACUCAAAAGAAUUGACGGGGGCCCGCACAAGCGGUGGAGCAUGUGGUUUAAUUCGAAGCUACGCGAAGAACCUUACCAGGUCUUGACAUCUUCUGCCNACCUAAGAGAUUAGGCGUUCCCUUCGGGGACAGAAUGACAGGUGGUGCAUGGUUGUCGUCAGCUCGUGUCGUGAGAUGUUGGGUUAAGUCCCGCAACGAGCGCAACCCUUAUUACUAGUUGCCAGCAUUCAGUUGGGCACUCUAGUGAGACUGCCGGUGACAAACCGGAGGAAGGUGGGGACGACGUCAAAUCAUCAUGCCCCUUAUGACCUGGGCUACACACGUGCUACAAUGGAUGGUACAACGAGUUGCGAAACCGCGAGGUNUAGCUAAUCUCUUAAAACCAUUCUCAGUUCGGACUGUAGGCUGCAACUCGCCUACACGAAGUCGGAAUCGCUAGUAAUCGCGGAUCAGCAUGCCGCGGUGAAUACGUUC
Molecule: ribosomal RNA, 1300 nt
Filed under: Pediococcus acidilactici
Lineage: Bacteria; Bacillati; Bacillota; Bacilli; Lactobacillales; Lactobacillaceae
Description: bacterial SSU rRNA
Rfam family: Bacterial small subunit ribosomal RNA
Source: RNAcentral